UACGGAAGGCAGCAGUGGGGAAUAUUGCACAAUGGGCGCAAGCCUGAUGCAGCCCAUGCCGCGUGUAAUGAAGAAGGCCUUCGGGUUGUAAAGUACUUUCAGUCGUGAGGAAGGUGUUAAGGUUAAUAACCUUAGCAAUUGACGUUAGCGACAGAAGAAGCACCGGCUAACUCCGUGCCAGCAGCCGCGGUAAUACGGAGGGUGCGAGCGUUAAUCGGAAUUACUGGGCGUAAAGGGCACGCAGGCGGUUAAUUAAGUUGGAUGUGAAAUCCCCGGGCUUAACCUGGGAAUGGCAUUCAAGACUGGUUAGCUAGAGUCUUGUAGAGGGGGUAGAAUUCCAUGUGUAGCGGUGAAAUGCGUAGAGAUGUGGAGGAAUACCGGUGGCGAAGGCGGCCCCUGGCAAAGGACUGACGCUCAUGUGCGAAAGCGUGGGGAGCAAACAGGAUUAGAUACC
Molecule: ribosomal RNA, 454 nt
Filed under: uncultured bacterium
Lineage: Bacteria
Description: bacterial SSU rRNA
Rfam family: Bacterial small subunit ribosomal RNA
Source: RNAcentral